RNAcentral lists this transfer RNA (360 nucleotides) under uncultured Microcystis sp. RNAcentral's name for it is "partial 16S-23S ribosomal RNA intergenic spacer". The stretch from base 136 to 209 matches the Rfam family "tRNA". Lineage: Bacteria; Bacillati; Cyanobacteriota; Cyanophyceae; Chroococcales; Microcystaceae. The record is from RNAcentral.
AAAGGGAGACCUAAUUCGGGUAGGAGACGAAAAAAAAGUAGUCCCUACCAAGAAUCAAUCCCAAAAGGUCGGAGCGAGGCGAAAUUGGCUUUCAAACUAGGUUCUGGGUUCACACAAGACCUGAAUCAGGAACAAGGGCUAUUAGCUCAGGUGGUUAGAGCGCACCCCUGAUAAGGGUGAGGUCCCUGGUUCGAGUCCAGGAUGGCCCACCUGCACAGGUGGCAAAAACAAAAAAGCUCCGAAUCAGCACCUUAUCUUACUUAUAUAGUAAGAGUGAAUGCUGGCUCUGAGUAAAGAGUCCAGAGGAACCUUGAAAACUGCAUAGAGCUAGGUGAAAAAGCCAAAAAAGAAGACCGCAAG